Molecule: ribosomal RNA, 517 nt
Filed under: Escherichia coli
Lineage: Bacteria; Pseudomonadati; Pseudomonadota; Gammaproteobacteria; Enterobacterales; Enterobacteriaceae
Description: partial 23S ribosomal RNA
Rfam family: Bacterial large subunit ribosomal RNA
Source: RNAcentral
AGACCCGAAACCCGGUGAUCUAGCCAUGGGCAGGUUGAAGGUUGGGUAACACUAACUGGAGGACCGAACCGACUAAUGUUGAAAAAUUAGCGGAUGACUUGUGGCUGGGGGUGAAAGGCCAAUCAAACCGGGAGAUAGCUGGUUCUCCCCGAAAGCUAUUUAGGUAGCGCCUCGUGAAUUCAUCUCCGGGGGUAGAGCACUGUUUCGGCAAGGGGGUCAUCCCGACUUACCAACCCGAUGCAAACUGCGAAUACCGGAGAAUGUUAUCACGGGAGACACACGGCGGGUGCUAACGUCCGUCGUGAAGAGGGAAACAACCCAGACCGCCAGCUAAGGUCCCAAAGUCAUGGUUAAGUGGGAAACGAUGUGGGAAGGCCCAGACAGCCAGGAUGUUGGCUUAGAAGCAGCCAUCAUUUAAAGAAAGCGUAAUAGCUCACUGGUCGAGUCGGCCUGCGCGGAAGAUGUAACGGGGCUAAACCAUGCACCGAAGCUGCGGCAGCGACACUGUGUGUUGUUG